Larimichthys crocea (large yellow croaker) is the source of this 5096-nucleotide RNA transcript. It is a transcript of the gene named aryl hydrocarbon receptor 1b, with no coding region annotated. Lineage: Eukaryota; Metazoa; Chordata; Actinopteri; Sciaenidae. The transcript has 13 exons. The record is from RefSeq and is a predicted model, not a curated record.
ACCUUUGACCCGCUGCGCGCACCCGACGUUGAAAUCAGCGGUGCCGGCUGGGACGCGCCUGCCCGGAGAGGAGAGACCGAGAGAGAGGAGGAGGUGGAGGAGAAGGAGGAGGGAAGCUGCUGCAGAGGAAUCCGGGAGGAGAGAAGAGAGGACGGGGGAAGCUUUUAACUUCAUAACGGUUCAGUUUUAACGUUUUGUUUUGGGGUUUUUUUAAACGGAGGUUGACCGUUGGACCGUUGGAGCGCCAUAGUAACCGGAGCGGUACUCCUCCCUUUAAAGGAGCUCACACAGUGACAUUAUCUGUCGUCAGCUUUGGCUUUUAUAACUGUAUUGUUAUUGGAAUAACUACAGGUUUUAACAGUAGCAUAACGGCUGUGCAUACUUUAUAUUUAACGCUAGCUCUAAAGCGAGUUUCCCGUCCUGUCAGUCACUGAUGAGCCGCAUGCCUGCCUCUGAUCCCCGGGACCUGCGCUGGAUGUCUGUGUGGAGCUUGUAUAAGUUAGUUUAUGGAUUUCCUCCGGCUUCACAGUCAAUAAACCAACAGUAACAAUAUGUAUGCAGGACGGAAAAGAAGAAAACCGGCACAAAAGGGAGUCAAACCGACCCCACCCGAAGGCGCCAAGUCCAACCCAUCCAAGCGCCACCGCGACCGCCUGAACUCAGAGCUGGACCGGCUCGCCAGCCUGCUGCCCUUCUCCGAGGAUGUCAUCUCCAGUUUGGACAAGCUGUCCAUUUUGAGGCUCAGCGUCAGCUUCCUCCGCACUAAGAGCUUCUUCUCCGUGGCGCUGAAGAAGCAGCUGUCCAAUGACACGAGCAAGAGCAGCGACCACAGUGAUGGCCGCAAAACGCCAGGACCUGUGAACGGACACGUACCUGAGGGGGAACUGCUGCUGCAGGCCCUGAACGGCUUCAUCCUGGUGGUGACAGCCGAGGGAAUCGUCUUCUUCUGCUCUCACACCAUUCAGGAUUACCUCGGCUUCCAUCAGACUGACGUGAUGCACCAGAGUGUGUUUGAGCUGAUCCACACUGAAGACCAGCAGGAGUUCAGGAACAACCUGCAUUGGGCCCUCAACCCCCCUGCCGGCGCCGGACCACCGACAGAUUCCUCAACAGAUGGAGAGUCGACAUCUUCCUGCCUGGUGAGCUACAACCCGGACCAGCUCCCACCUGAAAACUCCUCUUUCCUGGAGAGAAGCUUCGUCUGCCGCUUCCGCUGUUUGUUGGACAACUCUUCCGGCUUCCUGGCCUUGAAUAUCCAGGGUCGACUCAAGUUCCUCCAUGGUCAGAGCCGCCAACAGUGCGACAGCGAGAAGAGUACCCCGCCUCAACUCGCCCUGUUUGCCAUCGCCACGCCCCUGCAGCCUCCAGCCAUCCUGGAAAUCAGGACCAGGAACAUGAUCUUCAGGACCAAACACAAGCUUGACUUCACGCCCAUGGCCUGCGACGCAAAAGGAAAAAUCGUUCUGGGCUACACCGAGGCGGAGCUGAGAGUUCGAGGUUCGGGUUACCAGUUCAUUCACGCCGCUGACAUGCUGUACUGUGCCGAAAAUCAUGUUCGAAUGAUAAAAACGGGCGAGAGCGGCCUCACCGUCUUCAGGCUGCUCACCAAGGAGAACCGGUGGAAGUGGGUCCAGGCCAACGCAAGACUUGUCUACAAGAACGGCAAGCCAGACUACAUCAUCGCCACCCAGAGGCCCUUGGUGGAUGAGGAAGGAGGGGAACACCUGAGGAAGCGGUCAAUGCACCUUCCCUUCACCUUUGCCACCGGAGAGGCAAUGCUCUACCAGACCGGUUAUCCACUGCACGGCUUCCCAGAUUCCUUCCCGGGCAAAGCCAAAGGCAGCAAGGCAUCCAAGAAGGGCAAACUGGACAAGAGCUCUUCAGAUGACCUGGAUCCAAAAUCCCUACUGGGAGCGUUGAUGAGCCAGGACGAGUCCGUUUACGUCUGCCAGCCAGACACAAAGCCUACAAUGCCGUACCACAGCAGCCUUUUUAGCGAGCAGCAAGGUGACGGCAGCUUUGGAGACCUGUUAAGUGGCGACUGUUGGCCUGUUGUAUCUAACGGGGAGACGUGGAGAUGCAACAGCAAAACAUCUAGUUAUGACCCCCUGCUGGCCACUCUGGACUCUCUGUCCCUGGACGGAGAGGAAACGUGCUCCAAUAGUGAGCUUUUCAGCGCUCUCGAGAACCUGGGUCUGAACGCUGAAGACCUGGAGCUCCUGCUGCUGGAUGAGAGGAUGAUGCAGGUGGAGCUGGACCCCAACCACAUCCCAACACUUAGCGACCUCCUCACUAACAACGAAAUCCUCUCCUACAUCCACGACUCACUGGAAAGUGGGACGGAGGGGGAGGAACACGGACCACCAAACCCAGACUCGGCUCAAAGCGUCACGCAGCAGCCAAUCCCUCCAGCUCUUCCCAGCAGCAGGCAGCCCAUCAUCCAGCUGUCGCAACAGAUGCAGCGACACAUCAGUGCAGGUGACGCAGGGCAAAUUCAGCCUGUCAACCAGUCUGGAACAGUGGACUCCAAGAUUUUAACUGGGAGCAAUCACUGGGUCACAACAGAGAACAACCAUCACCCCAACAACCACACCCAUCAUCACCCACAUACUGUACUCAAAGCCUCGCAGUUGAACGGUGAACAUAAACACCAGCAGUGGCAGCUCCAGCAGGACUCGGUCCACCUCCAGUCCCAUCAACAGGCGCUGCCUGGUUUCCACAAUCAGCUCGGACUCGCAACAAACGGAUCAUCAUACAUGCCAAACGGACAUGCAGCCUUUCCACCGAACGUGGAGGUCAACCACAGCGGUUACAGCACCAGCACAGCUCUGAACAAUGUGGCCACAUCAGAUGCUUGUCACUACCAGAGCUUGGUGCACCACCAGUGUCACCAGAAACAGCAGCAGCAGAUAAUGCAGCAGACUCAGGCUCCACCGUCUUGUUUGCCCAGCCAGAGCUCUGCACUGGAGUUGGAGCAGUUACUGGGUCUGUCCCAGCCACAGCACAGCCUGCCGUCUUUAGAGGCCUACAGCAUGUUCAACACCAGCACACAAGACUCCACUCACAGCAAGUUGGAGAACGGUUGCCUCCUCAGUGCCACUAACGCAGCGUACAUCAGGACGUGUCUGAUGCCCAAUGGAAAUGGAGUGGUGACAGGAAACAUCCCUGUCUCCUGCCCAGACGGACUGUCCGCCCUGCAGGACCCGCAGAAAUCUGGAUUCUUCCUCUGAGAAGGUGACGGCGGAGUAUGAGAGAAGGCGAGAAGAGAAGGUACAGGAGGAAAAUAAAGACAGAAAUGUGAACACACAUUUUUAUAUGACUAGAGGGAAGAAGAAGAAGAAAGAAAAGGACUUCAUAUCGGGUUCUGUUUGGAUCUCUCAUCUUUUAGACAAGGCAUGACAAGCAAACAAAGACAGAGUUUUUAUCUGUCACAAUACUCACCACUGUCUGACCUGUAUAUACACGUUAUAGUCCUGAAGAGAAGAAGACACUGUGACACUCAGCAAGGCCGGCUACUUCAUUAAAGUGUCUUUAUUUAUCAGUAUUUAUCGGUACUCCGAUAAGAACUUUUUAGCUGGAUCACUCCAAAGCGUUUAACUCAAGAUAAAGUCCGGUUAAAGCACCAAGUUAUUCAAAGUAACACUUCACGUCACUGCUGACUGUUUCCUCAAGCAAACUGUACGCUUGAAGAAUUUUCCUACUUUGCAAGCAGGUGUUACAUAAAAGAUGUGCAUUUAAAGUUAUUUACAUAUUAAAGUACUCUCAACCUAACCCAAGAGAAAAAUAUGGUUAGGAUCCACAAACAUUAAUAUACUGGGAUAAUUUAAUUUCAUCACCAGCACUUUCCUGGUAUGUGUUCAUACUCCUGUAGUUGUUGUUCUAUUCUCAGACACUGAAACCAACAGCUGUCUGCAAAAUAUGGAAUAUUCUAUCUUAAAGGAACAAAAGUAUGCCUUGAAAAAAGGGUCUGCAGUUAUGAUGAAAGAAACAUGACCUACCAGGAUAAAUGUUCUAAAAAUACUAGGUCAUGUCUGCUGCUUGUUCAGUAAGUUAAGUUUAUGCAAGCAGUCAUGAGAUAACACAUCAGUCUUCAUUUGAGGACCAGUAGAUGUUGUCUGUCCCGGUGCUUUACGCGUCAAUCAAACAGCAUUUCAUUCUUAUCGUUGUUACUGUUGAGAUGAGAUUCAAACAGCUGAAAUCAGAAAGCGUUCGUACUUGUUGCUGCCACCACAGAAAAACCCACGCUGCUUCUGUGGCUGCGACAUCCCGUCGUUGAUCCUGAUGCUGCAUUUUAGCCUAUUUGAGGUUUACAAUGACGUUGUGCACUUACAUGUAUAUAAAGACAUAAUCAGAAGGGACCUGAUUUGUCCGUCAAGUGGCACUGAAAUCAAACCUAAAAAAGCAUUUUUGUCUCCCGACCGGAGACGGUGUGGAAACGUCCCGUUAAUGCCUUGUCUCGGCGGCCUCGGCCAGUCAGACCCCCACUGACUUUCCCCUGCAGUCGUGUUGUGUGGGAAACACUGAGUGCUCUUACAUGCACACAGUAAUCCAUUAAGGACCUAACUGUAAAUAAUAGAUCACAACUGAAGGCCGAAGAAGAAGUGCAUAGCCUGACAUUCCCACCCACCUCAGCCAUCACCUGACCUGCUCACCUGUUCUCCCAGCUGUUCCCCAUUCCCCCAAUCGAGCCUUCAGACAGUGUAAAGAGUAGCCAGCCAGUCAUUGCAGGAAGGUUAGCUUCCUCGAGACACUGCGCCGUACAAGCCCCGCCGCCGCAGGCCACUGGCGAGGCCCGCCGGGAGAGCUCAAAACCUCCCGGAGACUGCAGGAGCGUCAGCUGCAAAGGAAGUCUUUGUUGUGCUGGUCAUUGAGAUAAUUCACCGCAUUACAAGCUGCUCCUGUGAACCACAAGAAAGACGACUUUGCUUCGGUGCUGCUCGCUGUAACAAAAGCCAGAAACAGGCUAAAAACUAAAAGCAUCGCUUCCAUUAACUACCACUCUCUUCCUGCUCUGUUUAUUUUUGUUAUUAUUUUUGUUAAGGAGCUGUAAUUUUAUCCCAAACCUCAAGAGCUUAUACGACUCAUAUUUCUUGGAC